UCUCUGGUGGCUCAGAUGGUACAGAAUCUGUCUGCAAUGCAGGAGGCCCAGGUUUGAUCCCUGGGUAGGGAA
This 72-nucleotide transfer RNA is filed under the name Bos taurus (domestic cattle). It matches the Rfam family "tRNA". From Rfam's summary of the family: Transfer RNA (tRNA) molecules are approximately 80 nucleotides in length. Their secondary structure includes four short double-helical elements and three loops (D, anti-codon, and T loops). The record is from Rfam by way of RNAcentral. RNAcentral also lists the same sequence under 5 other names. Lineage: Eukaryota; Metazoa; Chordata; Mammalia; Artiodactyla; Bovidae.